AAUAAGUGCAGUUAUAAGUUUCCGCGCCCAACUUUGAUCGUCUGUCUUAUUUGAAAUGUUUUUAUAAUUAGCAUUUUUGUUGCUAUGAGAUGAUAAUACAUGAAUAGUACUUUACUUGUGAGUUAUGUUUGUAGUAUUUUUUUGAAAAAAUUUCAAAUAAGACGAACAAUCAAAGUUGGACACGAAAAACUAUGACUGCACUUAUU
Molecule: non-coding RNA, 206 nt
Organism: Oryza glaberrima (African rice)
Lineage: Eukaryota; Viridiplantae; Streptophyta; Magnoliopsida; Poales; Poaceae
Source: Rfam